RNAcentral lists this long non-coding RNA (257 nucleotides) under Rattus norvegicus (Norway rat). RNAcentral describes it as "long non-coding RNA NONRATT000113". Lineage: Eukaryota; Metazoa; Chordata; Mammalia; Rodentia; Muridae. The record is from RNAcentral.
GGAACUGAAGCUUAGGGCAGGGGGCGGGGGAGUACUGGGAAGUGCCCAAGGACAUAAGGAAAAUGGCCAAUAUCAGGAGUCACUGGCUGUCUCAAAAUUGCAGCUAUGGUUGCCUACUCAAAUUACUAGGAAAUUGGAGCUGAGUUUGUAGCAAACGCGAAAACUAUUGUACACCAAUGUCCUGUUGCUCAGAAACACGGCUAAUGCAUAAAGGCAGUGAGAGAAAAGAUGGUUAAAAUAAAAGAAAAAUUGGAAAA